This 117-nucleotide ribosomal RNA is filed under the name Oncorhynchus mykiss (rainbow trout). Lineage: Eukaryota; Metazoa; Chordata; Actinopteri; Salmoniformes; Salmonidae. The record is from RNAcentral.
GCUUACGGCCACAACCGGCCUGAGUACGCUGAUCUCGUCCGAUCUCGGAAGCUAAGCAGGGUCGGCCUGGUUAGUACUGGAUGGGAGACCGCCUGGGAAUACCAGGUGCUGUAAGCU